Molecule: ribosomal RNA, 482 nt
Filed under: uncultured bacterium
Lineage: Bacteria
Description: bacterial SSU rRNA
Rfam family: Bacterial small subunit ribosomal RNA
Source: RNAcentral
GACGAACGCUGGCGGCGUGCUUAACACAUGCAAGUCGAACGAGGUCCACUGCGUAGCAAUACAAGGGAAGACCUAGUGGCGAACGGGUGCGUAACACGUGAGGAACUUGUCCCGGUCUCUGGGAUAACAGUUGGAAACGACUGCUAAUACCGGAUGACGUCGGAAUCUCGCAUGGGAUACUGACGAAAGGGUUACUGGAUCGGGAGAGCCUCGCGGCCUAUCAGCUUGUUGGUGAGGUAACGGCUCACCAAGGCAUCGACGGGUAGCUGGUCUGAGAGGAUGAUCAGCCACACUGGGACUGAGACACGGCCCAGACUCCUACGGGAGGCAGCAGUGGGGAAUCUUGCGCAAUGGGCGAAAGCCUGACGCAGCAACGCCGCGUGCGGGAAGAAGGCCCUCGGGUUGUAAACCGCUUUCAGUAGGACGAAAAUGACGGUACCUGCAGAAGAAGGUGCGGCCAACUACGUGCCAGCAGCCGCGGU